This 425-nucleotide ribosomal RNA is filed under the name uncultured bacterium. RNAcentral describes it as "bacterial SSU rRNA". It matches the Rfam family "Bacterial small subunit ribosomal RNA", at positions 355 to 772 of the family's 1533-position model. The record is from RNAcentral.
UGGGGAAUAUUGGACAAUGGGCGCAAGCCUGAUCCAGCCAUGCCGCGUGAGUGAAGAAGGCCUUCGGGUUGUAAAGCUCUUUUGUCCGGAAAGAAAAGCUCUCGGUUAAUACCCGGGGGUGAUGACGGUACCGGGAGAAUAAGCCCCGGCUAACUCCGUGCCCGCAGCCGCGGGAAUACGGAGGGGGCUAGCGUUGUUCGGAAUUACUGGGCGUAAAGGGCGCGUAGGCGGCCUUCUAAGUCGGACGUGAAAGCCCCAGGCUUAACCUGGGAACUGCGUCCGAUACUGGGAGGCUUGGAUUCGGGAGAGGGAUGUGGAAUUCCAGGUGUAGCGGUGAAAUGCGUAGAUAUCUGGAGGAACACCGGUGGCGAAGGCGGCAUCCUGGACCGAGAUCGACGCUGAGGCGCGAAAGCUAGGGGAGCAAA